Zingiber officinale is the source of this 159-nucleotide long non-coding RNA. RefSeq lists it as uncharacterized. Lineage: Eukaryota; Viridiplantae; Streptophyta; Magnoliopsida; Zingiberales; Zingiberaceae. The transcript has 3 exons. The record is from RefSeq and is a predicted model, not a curated record.
GAUCUCCUUCUCGCAGCGGCGGCUGAAUCCUUCUCCAGCGGUGGCAGAAUCCUUCUCCUGCAGCGGCGCAGGUCUCGCUCGGUGUAGUUGGAGACACUCGUAUCAUAAAGCACUUUUGUAGAUCUUCCCCGUGGUCAUUAGAGGUGACAUCUAAUAUAU